Molecule: ribosomal RNA, 492 nt
Filed under: uncultured bacterium
Lineage: Bacteria
Description: partial 16S ribosomal RNA
Rfam family: Bacterial small subunit ribosomal RNA
Source: RNAcentral
AACGAACGCUGGCGGCAUGCCUAACACAUGCAAGUCGAACGACACCUUAGUGUGUAGUUGCUCAUGGGUGCGUCAAGUGUGGGACGCUUCACUUAGACAUGGAAUUCCUCUCCUACAGGGGUGCUAAUGCAGGGUAAUUUACUCUGACACCGCAUAUGACCCACUUGUAUAAGCACGCGUUCGUUUAACCUGUUGCUAUGGUAAGAGCCUAUGUUGGAUUAGCUAGUUGGCAGGGUAAAGGCCCACCAAGGCGACGAUCCGUAGCUGGUCUGAGAGGAUGAUCAGCCACACUGGAACUGAGACACGGCCCAGACUCCUACGGGAGGCAGCAGUGGGGAAUAUUGGACAAUGGGCGCAAGCCUGAUCCAGCCAUACCGCGUGGGUGAAGAAGGCCUUCGGGUUGUAAAGCCCUUUUGUUGGGAAAGAAAAGCAGCAGGUUAAUACCCCGCUGUUCUGACGGUACCCAAAGAAUAAGCACCGGCUAACUUCGUG